UGACGGAAAAGGCUCAAUAGUGCGACGGCCUGCGUGGCCAAAAAGCGCGCCACGCCAGCCUCGCCCUCAACAGGCGUCCUAGGGGUGAAGCCGACCGACUUUCGCUGUGCUCGUUGACGCGCCGAACCGAGCGCGUCAACCCAACAGCCGAAAAUGUCGCGUGGCCGGGCAAUCUCUUUCCAGCCCGAACCCGACAGCUCACCUCGCAGGCGUGGGGAAGGGCAAUC
Molecule: non-coding RNA, 227 nt
Organism: Frankia sp.
Lineage: Bacteria; Bacillati; Actinomycetota; Actinomycetes; Frankiales; Frankiaceae
Source: Rfam